Non-coding RNA from Cordylochernes scorpioides, 72 nucleotides. NCBI's taxonomy places the organism in Eukaryota, Metazoa, Arthropoda, Arachnida, Pseudoscorpiones, Chernetidae. The record is from the annotation of a GenBank genome assembly.
UCCAGGGUAGCCUAGUGGACAUGGCAUCUGCCUGGUAAGCGGAAGGUCGUGGGUUCGAUAUCGCCCCUGGAC